CAACAGAAGAAGAGAUGUGACAACGAACGUAAGAGGUCUGAGUGACGUGCAAGGAAGGGGCCACCAGCCAAGGAAAGCACAUGGGCUCCAGAAGCUGGAAAAGGAAAGGAAACGGAUUCUUUCCUAGAGUCUCCAGAAGGAAACAGCCCUGCUGACUCCUUCACUUUAGCCCAGUGAAACUGGUUUCCAGUUUCUGGUCUCCAGAUUGAGGAUGGAAAGUGGAUUAUUGAGAGGAGGAAGAAGAUCCAAGGAAGCAGAGAAUCCAUUUAGUGAUCAUAUUGUCUAGGCAGCAAAAGGAAGACUGGCCCUGAGCCAGCAUCCAUGCCCAUCUUCCUCUACUUUAUAUGUGGGAUGCCUGCCAUGGCAUGGCUUGAUUAGCAGUGCAUAGGUCCGCACCCGGGAUCCAAACCCACAAACCCUGGGCGGCUGAAGAGGAACAUGCGAACUUAACUGCUGCACCACCGGGCCAGCCCCUGUAAAGCUCUUUUGGCCUUGCACGAGUAGGGAAAUGGUGCCAAGAGGCCAAGGAUCAUAUCUGACUUGUUUUUGGCUGAAUCUCAGUGCCAAUGAAAUGUACGAGGUGUCCAACGACUGUGGGAGGAAGGAACAGAGGCAAGGAGGAAGACGGGAGAGAGAGGAGAGCAGAAUCAGAUGACACUUUCCUGGUCAUUCAGCCACAACAUAUGGGCAACAUUUUAAUUCUAAUUCCUUUUUAAAAUAAUAUUGAGUCAUAUUUAAAUGUUCUUUGACUUUUUGGGAGUGAAGACAUUUUUAUUUUCUCAGCAUGGGAUUGUAAGCCUGUGAUGUGGUUCCUUCAUUAGAAUGUUAGUUAUUCAUGAUGUUAGUCUUUUUAUUUCAUCUUUUGAAUGUUGCAUUUCUAUCCCUAUUUUCUCUCCUGGCCAACUAUCUUGCAAAUGUCACCACAAGGGAGAUGCGAUGGAAAAAUAAUUGUAAACAAAGAUAAUUGUAAACAAAUCCUUUGUGGGUCAGUAGGCUUUUGUCAUAUUUAAGGAACGUGUCACAGCAGUAUAUUGUAAUUGGGGAAUCAGGAAACUUAUGUGCAUUCUGCCACCCACAUGCUUUGAUGAUGAAUAAAGCUUUUCCGCAGAAUUUUUUCUUCAGAAUCAAAACUUCUCUAUAACUAUUUUGUACUGAUUACUUGAUAACUAUUCUUAAAUGUAAUGGACAUCUAGGGAUGAGAAUUUCUGUCUUAUAGUGAAGUGCUAUAUUGCUUACAUUUCUAUAUAAAAGCUCAUUCAUGAGGUUGUUACUUUUUGUCAUUAAAAAAUAAAGCAGGUGUCAACAUUCUCCACUGGAGACUAUGACUUUAAGCAAACAAAGGACACAUAUUUUAUGAUUACAUUUAUGUGGAAUGUCCAGAUAGUGCAACUUCAUAGAGACAGAAAGCAGAUUAGUGGUUGCCAAAGGCUGAGGGGAGGGAAAAUGGGGAACUAUCAUUCCUUUUGGGAUGAUGAAAAUGUUGUAAAAUUAGAUAGUGGUGAUGGUUGUACAACUCGUAAGUAUACUAGAAACUACUGAAUUUUACACUUUUAAGGAAUUUUAUGGUAUAUGAAUUAUAUCUCAAUAAAAAUGUAUUUUAAAAAGCC
RNAcentral lists this long non-coding RNA (1607 nucleotides) under Equus caballus (horse). RNAcentral describes it as "lncRNA (ENSECAG00000047848.1)". Lineage: Eukaryota; Metazoa; Chordata; Mammalia; Perissodactyla; Equidae. The record is from RNAcentral.